UUGUGUGAAUACAUAGCACAUUCGAGGUAGACGCAGAGAACUGAAACAUCUAAGUACCUGCAGGAAGAGAAAGAAAAUUCGAUUCCCUGAGUAGCGGCGAGCGAAACGGGAAAAGCCCAAACCAACAAGCUUGCUUGUUGGGGUUGUAGGACUCCAAUAUGGUCGUUCUUUCAGAUAGUCGAAUGACUUGGAAAAGUCAGUCAAAGAGGGUAAAAACCCCGUAGACGAAAUGUGGAAGACACCUAGGAGGAUCCUGAGUACGGCGGAACACGAGAAAUUCCGUCGGAAUCCGGGAGGACCAUCUCCCAAGGCUAAAUACUCCCUAGUGACCGAUAGUGAACCAGUACCGUGAGGGAAAGGUGAAAAGCACCCCGGAAGGGGAGUGAAAUAGAACCUGAAACCGUGUGCCUACAACAAGUCAAAGCCCGUUAAUGGGUGAUGGCGUGCCUUUUGUAGAAUGAACCGGCGAGUUACGAUUGCAUGCGAGGUUAAGUUGAAGAGACGGAGCCGCAGCG
This 515-nucleotide ribosomal RNA is filed under the name Enterococcus faecium. RNAcentral's name for it is "partial 23S ribosomal RNA". It matches the Rfam family "Bacterial large subunit ribosomal RNA", at positions 154 to 673 of the family's 2925-position model. Lineage: Bacteria; Bacillati; Bacillota; Bacilli; Lactobacillales; Enterococcaceae. The record is from RNAcentral.